This 835-nucleotide ribosomal RNA is filed under the name uncultured Staphylococcus sp. Its description in RNAcentral is "SSU rRNA". It matches the Rfam family "Bacterial small subunit ribosomal RNA", at positions 55 to 871 of the family's 1533-position model. Lineage: Bacteria; Bacillati; Bacillota; Bacilli; Caryophanales; Staphylococcaceae. The record is from RNAcentral.
AUGCAAGUCGAGCGAACAGACGAGGAGCUUGCUCCUCUGACGUUAGCGGCGGACGGGUGAGUAACACGUGGAUAACCUACCUAUAAGGCUGGGAUAACUUCGGGAAACCGGAGCUAAUACCGGAUAAUAUAUUGAACCGCAUGGUUCAAUAGUGAAAGACGGUUUUGCUGUCACUUAUAGAUGGAUCCGCGCCGCAUUAGCUAGUUGGUAAGGUAACGGCUUACCAAGGCGACGAUGCGUAGCCGACCUGAGAGGGUGAUCGGCCGCACUGGAACUGAGACACGGUCCAGACUCCUACGGGAGGCAGCAGUAGGGAAUCUUCCGCAAUGGGCGAAAGCCUGACGGAGCAACGCCGCGUGAGUGAUGAAGGUCUUCGGAUCGUAAAACUCUGUUAUUAGGGAAGAACAAAUGUGUAAGUAACUAUGCACGUCUUGACGGUACCUAAUCAGAAAGCCACGGCUAACUACGUGCCAGCAGCCGCGGUAAUACGUAGGUGGCAAGCGUUAUCCGGAAUUAUUGGGCGUAAAGCGCGCGUAGGCGGUUUUUUAAGUCUGAUGUGAAAGCCCACGGCUCAACCGUGGAGGGUCAUUGGAAACUGGAAAACUUGAGUGCAGAAGAGGAAAGUGGAAUUCCAUGUGUAGCGGUGAAAUGCGCAGAGAUAUGGAGGAACACCAGUGGCGAAGGCGACUUUCUGGUCUGUAACUGACGCUGAUGUGCGAAAGCGUGGGGAUCAAACAGGAUUAGAUACCCUGGUAGUCCACGCCGUAAACGAUGAGUGCUAAGUGUUAGGGGGUUUCCGCCCCUUAGUGCUGCAGCUAACGCAUUAAGCACUCCG